GAACUGCCUCCUCUCAGAAGCGAGCAGAGGACCCCAUAGGCAGCCGCGAAGUCCAUCCCAAAGGGGUCGUGGGCCAUGAGCAACAAUGCCCUGGGGAGAGUUUAAGUGUGGACCACUCCCUUUGAAUGUACCUCAUACCAUGAAGAGUUUUCACUGUUCAAGGAUGAUCCUCAUAGGAAGGGGGGGAAAUGCAGUUUAAAAAGGAGAUGCAAGAGACACAGGUCCAAGCCCUGAGUCAGGAAGAUCCCCUGGAAUAGGAAAUGGCAACCCCUUCCAACCUUCUUGCCUGGGAAACUCCACGGAUAGAGGAACCUGACUGGCUACAAUCUGUAAGGUCGCAGAGAGUCAGACACAACUGAGCAUGCAUGCAGCAAGACCCUUCUUACCUAUCUGGAGAGAACACACACACACAUACACACACA
Molecule: long non-coding RNA, 422 nt
Organism: Bos taurus (domestic cattle)
Lineage: Eukaryota; Metazoa; Chordata; Mammalia; Artiodactyla; Bovidae
Source: Ensembl